This 865-nucleotide ribosomal RNA is filed under the name Paludomus siamensis. RNAcentral describes it as "partial large subunit ribosomal RNA". The stretch from base 332 to 581 matches the Rfam family "Archaeal large subunit ribosomal RNA", at positions 1787 to 2143 of the family's 2987-position model. The record is from RNAcentral. Lineage: Eukaryota; Metazoa; Mollusca; Gastropoda; Paludomidae.
AAAAAAAUAUAAAAGUAUUUUGAUAAAUAUUUUAUUGGCUAUAUUUAAGGCUGUAAAUAUAUUUUAUUUUUCAGGCCUAAAAGGAUAAGCUUUUAGGUUUAAAAUAGUUAAGAUUUAUAACAUUAAAUAUAAAAUUAUGUGGACUUAGAAUUAGUCACCAUUAAAGUUUGUUAUAAAAUAUUUUCUAAAUAAUCACAAAAUUUUUAUAUUUCUAUUCUAAUAAUCUAAUGAAGAUAAUAAUUUUAAUUAAGAUAAAUUUUUUACCUAUGCUAAAAUGAGUAUUAUACUGAUUUUUUUAAAUAAUUUAUAUAACUAUCUUUAUUAAUUUUAAAAACACUAAUUAGGAAAAAGGAACUCGGCAAAAUUUGUUUCGCCUGUUUAUCAAAAACAUGGCUCUUUGUACAAUAUAAAUAAAGAGUCCAACCUGCCCAGUGAAAUUUUUAACGGCCGCGGUACUCUGACCGUGCAAAGGUAGCAUAAUCAUUUGCCUUAUAAUUAAAGGCUAGUAUGAAUGGUUUAACGAAAACAAAACUGUCUCUUUCCUAAUAUCUAAAAACUAACCUAUAGGUGAAGAGGCCUAUAUAAAAUUAAAGGACAAGAAGACCCUAUCGAGCUUAAAAGACAUUAUUAAAAGUAAUAUAUCUAUUGAGAUAUAUAAUUCAUUAGCUUUUUAGUUGGGGCGACUGAGGAACAAAUAAAGCUUCUUUUUUCAUACAUAACAUAUAGGUUUAGACCCAAUAUAUUAAUUGAUCAAAAGAAUUAGUUACCGUAGGGAUAACAGCAUAAUCUCUCUUAAGAGAUCCAAUCGAAAGGGGGGGUUGUGACCUCGAUGUUGGAUUAGAGUAUCCUCAAGAUGCAGAUGUCU